Molecule: ribosomal RNA, 240 nt
Filed under: uncultured Actinomycetales bacterium
Lineage: Bacteria; Bacillati; Actinomycetota; Actinomycetes; Actinomycetales
Description: partial 16S ribosomal RNA
Rfam family: Bacterial small subunit ribosomal RNA
Source: RNAcentral
ACUCGAGUGGCGAACGGGUGAGUAACACGUGGGUGAUCUGCCUUGCACUUCGGGAUAAGCCUGGGAAACUGGGUCUAAUACCGGAUAGGACCAUGCUUUAGUGUGUGUGGUGGAAAGUUUUCGGUGCAAGAUGAGCCCGCGGCCUAUCAGCUUGUUGGUGGGGUAAUGGCCUACCAAGGCGACGACGGGUAGCCGGCCUGAGAGGGUGGACGGCCACAUUGGGACUGAGAUACGGCCCAG